GGCAGCGGUUUCUAGAUGACGUGCCUUCCCCCCUGUCUGCAAAUUCUGGUCGGGGCUCGACCAUGCCGUUUAGAUGUCAGCGGGGAGGAGGGGCGCGGAAGAAUCACCGCGCUUGGAUUUAGCGAUGGUCUCUGCAAUCGGAAGGGCCUAACUCCUAGGAGGCCUCUCCAAGAGUGAUCUGUUUCAAAGGAAGUCUGGCACAACUCCUGGUCACCCUUCAGCUACCAAGAACAUGGUUGUGUUCUGGGAGAACACAUUGUAUAGGUACCUGCUUAAUCCUAACAAGGAUAUAUUCCAUGAUGUGCGCAAUAUUUGAGGACGCUAAUUAAUUGCCGCGAACCUUGCAAUGGAAACGGCAAAAAUUGCUACUCCAAGAGUCGAUCGUGCCACUAUAUAAACAGCCCCUAAGGAACAACCUAAGCACAACCAAAACCAAAAGGUCAAUACGAGAAAGAAAACUACUACGUUAUGGCUGUAAUCCAGAGCAACACCAGGGUUCUGUGCUUGAUGGCUCUUCUGAUGAUUUCGACCACUUUGUUGUCCAUUCAAGCAUCAGGGAGGAACAUAGGUCUGGAAGCCAACACUGGUGCCGUAAGAUCAGAAGCCAACGCUGGCACUGAGGAGAACCGCGAACCCUACCUUCCACCCCCGUGUGAUCCUAAAUAUUGUGAUGAAGCCUGUAAGGAAGAUAAGCACAAAGUUGGGACAUGCCAUAAAGACGAUGGUGGUUGCUGGUGCAGCUAGACGACACUUCCUAGGUGUUGCAGAAUUUUUUAGCAAGGAAUUGACCGAGAAUAAAGUUAUGAAAUAAGAC
Long non-coding RNA from Lolium rigidum, 814 nucleotides. RefSeq lists it as uncharacterized. The record is from RefSeq and is a predicted model, not a curated record. NCBI's taxonomy places the organism in Eukaryota, Viridiplantae, Streptophyta, Magnoliopsida, Poales, Poaceae. The transcript is spliced from 4 exons.